RNAcentral lists this ribosomal RNA (494 nucleotides) under uncultured bacterium. RNAcentral's name for it is "partial 16S ribosomal RNA". It matches the Rfam family "Bacterial small subunit ribosomal RNA", at positions 28 to 506 of the family's 1533-position model. The record is from RNAcentral.
GACGAACGCUGGCGGCGUGCCUAAUACAUGCAAGUAGAACGCUUAAGGAGGAGCUUGCUUCUCUGGAUGAGUUGCGAACGGGUGAGUAACGCGUAGGUAACCUGCCUGGUAGCGUGGGAUAACUAUUGGAAACGAUAGCUAAUACCGCAUAACAGUAGAUAUCGCAUGAUAUCUACUUGAAAGGUGCAAUUGCAUUACUACCAGAUGGACCUGCGUUGUAUUAGCUAGUUGGUGAGGUAACGGCUCACCAAGGCGACGAUACAUAGCCGACCUGAGAGGGUGAUCGGCCACAAUGGGACUGAGACACGGCCCAGAAUCCUACGGGAGGCAGAAGUAGGGAAUCUUCGGCAAUGGACGGAAGUCUGACCGAGCAACGCCGCGUGAGUGAAGAAGGUUUUCGGAUCGUAAAGCUCUGUUGUAAGAGAAGAACGAGUGUGAGAGUGGAAAGUUCACACUGUGACGGUAUCUUACCAGAGAGGGACGGCUAACUACGU